Podarcis lilfordi (Lilford's wall lizard) is the source of this 82-nucleotide non-coding RNA. The record is from the annotation of a GenBank genome assembly. Lineage: Eukaryota; Metazoa; Chordata; Lepidosauria; Squamata; Lacertidae.
UUUGGGAAAGGACUGUAGCUCAGAGAUAGAGCAUCUGCUUUUCAUGCAGCAGUCCCUGGUUCAAUCCCCAGUGUCUCUAGAA